GACGAACGCUGGCGGCGUGCCUAAUACAUGCAAGUUGAGCGCUGAAGGUUGGUACUUGUACCAACUGGAUGAGCAGCGAACGGGUGAGUAACGCGUGGGGAAUCUGCCUUUGAGCGGGGGACAACAUUUGGAAACGAAUGCUAAUACCGCAUAAAAACUUUAAACACAAGUUUUAAGUUUGAAAGAUGCAAUUGCAUCACUCAAAGAUGAUCCCGCGUUGUAUUAGCUAGUUGGUGUGGUAAAGGCUCACCAAGGCGAUGAUACAUAGCCGACCUGAGAGGGUGAUCGGCCACAUUGGGACUGAGACACGGCCCAAACUCCUACGGGAGGCAGCAGUAGGGAAUCUUCGGCAAUGGACGAAAGUCUGACCGAGCAACGCCGCGUGAGUGAAGAAGGUUUUCGGAUCGUAAAACUCUGUUGGUAGAGAAGAACGUUGGUGAGAGUGGAAAGCUCAUCAAGUGACGGUAACUACCCAGAAAGGGACGGCUAACUACGUG
Molecule: ribosomal RNA, 497 nt
Filed under: uncultured bacterium
Lineage: Bacteria
Description: partial 16S ribosomal RNA
Rfam family: Bacterial small subunit ribosomal RNA
Source: RNAcentral